This 326-nucleotide ribosomal RNA is filed under the name uncultured eukaryote. Its description in RNAcentral is "partial 18S ribosomal RNA". It matches the Rfam family "Eukaryotic small subunit ribosomal RNA", at positions 1470 to 1796 of the family's 1831-position model. The record is from RNAcentral.
CCCUUAGAUGUCCUGGGCCGCACGCGCGCUACACUGAACGGAUCAGCGCGUUUUCCCUUCCCGAGAGGGACGGGUAACCUGCUGAACCCCGUUCGUGGUAGGGAUCGGGGCUUGCAAUUAUUCCCCGUGAACCAGGAAUGCCCAGUAAGUGCAAGUCAUAAGCUUGCGUUGAUUACGUCCCUGCCCUUUGUACACACCGCCCGUCGCACCUACUGAUUGGAUGACUCGGUGAAAAAUUGGGACUAUGAGAGAUACUGCUUAAUUGCGGCAUUUUUUAUGGGAACUUUUUUAAACCUCGUUAUCUAGAAGAAGGUGAAGUCGUAACA